This 249-nucleotide small nuclear RNA is filed under the name Salvator merianae (Argentine black and white tegu). Its description in RNAcentral is "7SK RNA (ENSSMRG00000023600.1)". The stretch from base 1 to 201 matches the Rfam family "7SK RNA". Rfam says of the family: 7SK was discovered as an abundant small nuclear RNA in the mid-70s but a possible function has only recently been suggested. Lineage: Eukaryota; Metazoa; Chordata; Lepidosauria; Squamata; Teiidae. The record is from RNAcentral.
GGAUGUGAGGGUGAUCUGGCUGUGACAUCUGUCACCUCAUUGAUUGCCAAGGUUGAUUCAGCUGAUCUGGCUGGCUAAGCAGGUGUUUCCUUCUUUGCUCACCGCUCCACGUGCGUCCCUCCUGAAGCUGUGUGCUCGGUGGAAGAGGAUGACCAUCCCAGAUAGAAGGAGUGUAUGGUAAAAGAUGAAGGGUUUCUUCCUUGCAGCAUACUGAACAUGUGCAAGGGAUCAAAUAAGUAGUGAGUUUUU